This 443-nucleotide ribosomal RNA is filed under the name uncultured bacterium. Its description in RNAcentral is "bacterial SSU rRNA". It matches the Rfam family "Bacterial small subunit ribosomal RNA", at positions 39 to 469 of the family's 1533-position model. The record is from RNAcentral.
GGCCGCGGGAAUUCGAUUCAGGCCUAACACAUGCAAGUCGAGCGGUAGAGAGAAGCUUGCUUCUCUUGAGAGCGGCGGACGGGUGAGUAAUGCCUAGGAAUCUGCCUGGUAGUGGGGGAUAACGUUCGGAAACGGACGCUAAUACCGCAUACGGCCUACGGGAGAAAGCAGGGGACCUUCGGGCCUUGCGCUAUCAGAUGAGCCUAGGUCGGAUUAGCUAGUUGGUGAGGUAAUGGCUCACCAAGGCGACGAUCCGUAACUGGUCUGAGAGGAUGAUCAGUCACACUGGAACUGAGACACGGUCCAGACUCCUACGGGAGGCAGCAGUGGGGAAUAUUGGACAAUGGGCGAAAGCCUGAUCCAGCCAUGCCGCGUGUGUGAAGAAGGUCUUCGGAUUGUAAAGUAAUUAAGUUGGGAGGAAGGGCAGUUACCUAAUACGUGAU